Molecule: long non-coding RNA, 231 nt
Organism: Syngnathus acus (greater pipefish)
Lineage: Eukaryota; Metazoa; Chordata; Actinopteri; Syngnathiformes; Syngnathidae
Exons: 2
Source: RefSeq, a predicted model, not a curated record
UUCUAGUGUGGUGAAUGGUCUUUGUUGCUUCGCUGGUCUCCAAAAAACACUCGGUGGACGAUGGCUGGCCCAGGGAAGGAAGCACUCCAGUGACACACGGCUGAUUGGGAAAAGAUUUUAUUGAACCGAUGUCAGUGAUGUCUCUCCAAAAGGUCUUCCUGGUCACGGACAAAUGGCCCUUCCAUAUUCUAAGUACCUACACAUUACUGAAACUAGAGCUUCUCUGUACCG